Molecule: ribosomal RNA, 490 nt
Filed under: uncultured bacterium
Lineage: Bacteria
Description: partial 16S ribosomal RNA
Rfam family: Bacterial small subunit ribosomal RNA
Source: RNAcentral
AUUGAACGCUGGCGGCAGGCCUAACACAUGCAAGUCGAACGGUAACAGGAAGAAGCUUGCUUCUUUGCUGACGAGUGGCGGACGGGUGAGUAAUGUCUGGGAAACUGCCUGAUGGAGGGGGAUAACUACUGGAAACGGUAGCUAAUACCGCAUAACGUCGCAAGACCAAAAAGGGGGACCUUCGGGCCUCUUGCCAUCGGAUGUGCCCAGAUGGGAUUAGCUAGUAGGUGGGGUAACGGCUCACCUAGGCGACGAUCCCUAGCUGGUCUGAGAGGAUGACCAGCCACACUGGAACUGAGACACGGUCCAGACUCCUACGGGAGGCAGCAGUGGGGAAUAUUGCACAAAGGGCGCAAGCCUGAUGCAGCCAUGCCGCGUGUAUGAAGAAGGCCUUCGGGUUGUAAAGUACUUUCAGCGGGGAGGAAGGGAGUAAAGUUAAUACCUUUGCUCAUUGACGUUCCCCGCAGAAGAAGCACCGGCUAACUCCGUG